This 1428-nucleotide ribosomal RNA is filed under the name Bacillus subtilis. RNAcentral describes it as "bacterial SSU rRNA". It matches the Rfam family "Bacterial small subunit ribosomal RNA". Lineage: Bacteria; Bacillati; Bacillota; Bacilli; Caryophanales; Bacillaceae. The record is from RNAcentral.
CUAUACAUGCAAGUCGAGCGGACAGAUGGGAGCUUGCUCCCUGAUGUUAGCGGCGGACGGGUGAGUAACACGUGGGUAACCUGCCUGUAAGACUGGGAUAACUCCGGGAAACCGGGGCUAAUACCGGAUGGUUGUUUGAACCGCAUGGUUCAAACAUAAAAGGUGGCUUCGGCUACCACUUACAGAUGGACCCGCGGCGCAUUAGCUAGUUGGUGAGGUAACGGCUCACCAAGGCAACGAUGCGUAGCCAACCUGAGAGGGUGAUCGGCCACACUGGGACUGAGACACGGCCCAAACUCCUACGGGAGGCAGCAGUAGGGAAUCUUCCGCAAUGGACGAAAGUCUGACGGAGCAACGCCGCGUGAGUGAUGAAGGUUUUCGGAUCGUAAAGCUCUGUUGUUAGGGAAGAACAAGUACCGUUCGAAUAGGGCGGUACCUUGACGGUACCUAACCAGAAAGCCACGGCUAACUACGUGCCAGCAGCCGCGGUAAUACGUAGGUGGCAAGCGUUGUCCGGAAUUAUUGGGCGUAAAGGGCUCGCAGGCGGUUUCUUAAGUCUGAUGUGAAAGCCCCCGGCUCAACCGGGGAGGGUCAUUGGAAACUGGGGAACUUGAGUGCAGAAGAGGAGAGUGGAAUUCCACGUGUAGCGGUGAAAUGCGUAGAGAUGUGGAGGAACACCAGUGGCGAAGGCGACUCUCUGGUCUGUAACUGACGCUGAGGAGCGAAAGCGUGGGGAGCGAACAGGAUUAGAUACCCUGGUAGUCCACGCCGUAAACGAUGAGUGCUAAGUGUUAGGGGGUUUCCGCCCCUUAGUGCUGCAGCUAACGCAUUAAGCACUCCGCCUGGGGAGUACGGUCGCAAGACUGAAACUCAAAGGAAUUGACGGGGGCCCGCACAAGCGGUGGAGCAUGUGGUUUAAUUCGAAGCAACGCGAAGAACCUUACCAGGUCUUGACAUCCUCUGACAAUCCUAGAGAUAGGACGUCCCCUUCGGGGGCAAAGUGACAGGUGGUGCAUGGUUGUCGUCAGCUCGUGUCGUGAGAUGUUGGGUUAAGUCCCGCAACGAGCGCAACCCUUGAUCUUAGUUGCCAGCAUUCAGUUGGGCACUCUAAGGUGACUGCCGGUGACAAACCGGAGGAAGGUGGGGAUGACGUCAAAUCAUCAUGCCCCUUAUGACCUGGGCUACACACGUGCUACAAUGGACAGAACAAAGGGCAGCGAAACCGCGAGGUUAAGCCAAUCCCACAAAUCUGUUCUCAGUUCGGAUCGCAGUCUGCAACUCGACUGCGUGAAGCUGGAAUCGCUAGUAAUCGCGGAUCAGCAUGCCGCGGUGAAUACGUUCCCGGGCCUUGUACACACCGCCCGUCACACCACGAGAGUUUGUAACACCCGAAGUCGGUGAGGUAACCUUUUAGGAGCCAGCCUUUUU